UAUAUGAGACUUUGAGGUGCAUGCAUAAUCACUGUCAUGCAGAACAGUACCAAAAGGUCAGCUUUUCAGUGGAGUCAGUGAAAAAGAUUUCAUUUGGGAUCACCCAAUAGUAAAAAUAAUAAUAAUAAUAAUAUUAAUAAUAAUAAUGCAUGUUUGACACUAUAAAUAUCAACUGAUUAAAUCCUAUCAGAAAAUGAAAACAAGAACAAAAUAGAUAGAUACAAGGUUUACUGCAUGAAAGUGGUAAUAUGCCACAGUAGAAAAGAAGAACACUAAAAACAUGUCACAUGUCCAAAAAGGUUUCUUCUCCCCAAUUCCAUGUUUACAGUGUGUUAGCUUACAAGGAAAGCAGGGAGAGUUUGCUGUGUCAAGGAGGACAGCAGUCUCUCUCCCUGCAGGUCACCACAGCAUCAGCGUUGGCUGACGGCCAGGCCUCCACUGAUAAGCAGCUUCUCUCUCUGCUCUCUCUCUGCAUCCCCUAGAGGGCAAUCAUUUACCCCUUUGAAUUUGCACUGCCCAGCCCCCAACCGGUACAGCACUCACUGCCUCUCCCCUCCUGCUUCAAUCUCAUGUGGUGACACAUUAGACAUGCAGCGAGAGGAUCCUGCCCUGCCUCUCCCCUGCUCACUCCCCCCACACCACCCAACCCACCCCAGGCAGUGCAUGGGCACUUUUGCACCAAGAUAUUGAGAUAUAGCUUCAGAUUAAUUUCCACCGGCAGCGCCACACUGUGAGACGCUCAUGUCGCGACUGACUGCUGAGGUGGCUAAAGAUCAGCUGCUUCUGAAGGCCCGCCUGCCAGGCCCAAGUGAUUUGAACAGAUAUACUCAUACAUCUGUGUGGAUGUAAAAAUCCUGGCUUACGCUCAUUCUAUAGCCUGUGACAUUUUAGCUUUCAUUUGGGAUAUACAGUAUGUGCCUGAACACAUCCUCCUAACAUUAUAUAGUCUUUGGGGUCUAUUUCUCUUUUUUAUGAUUUUACUGAAAUCAUCAAAAAAUAGUUGAAUGUAGAUUUGUAGCACUGCUAACGAGUGCAUUACCACACACACUUAUAGGACCUGCGUAUUCAGAGGUGUAUAAUAACGGGUGAAGCUUUAGCCCAGUGCCUUUUAAGAAUUCUCAUUGUCACAUUACAUGGCUCCUGCUGGACCCCUUCCCCCAUCAAUAAUAGCCUCCUCCUCUGAGCAGUGGUGCAUUACAGUAAAUUAGAUGGAGCUUUUAUAAUGGGCAAAACGGGCCCAUCAGUGAGGAAAGGCAGAGAGUGAAAAAGAAAGAAAGAACCAAGGAGAGAAAGGGUGAGAGUGAAGCAUGAGAAAGAAAUAAAUGAGACAGUUAAAGGAAAAAAAAGUGUGAGGAAGAGAUUUAGUGAGAGGAGCAUAGUGAGAUAGAGUGGGAGCAAGAGAAGUGAGCAUGAGAGAGCAAUGAUGCGAGUGAAGAAGACAAGGAGACAGACGAAAAAAGAAAAAGAGAAACAAGAAGAGGAGGAAGAGAAAUAGUAAGAGAGAGUGACUAUGAGAGAAAAGUGAGAAAAAAAUGAAAGUAGAGAAAAAAGCAGCAAUAAAAGGAGCGUGAGAGAGAAAUACAGUAAGAUAAAGGGGAAAAGGGGGAGACAGGUAAAGGUAAAAGUGUGAAUCAGUGAGAGAGACAGAAAGCUUUGAGACACAAGGGUAAACAUGAGAGUAAUAAAGCUAUAAACUCUAAAAUAAAAAAGAAGACAGGUAGAGAGACAACAGAGAGAAAGACAGAAAGAACAGCAAUAGAAAUUGACAGGUAAGAGAAAGAGCUAAUAAUAAUAAUAACAUGAAUAAACUGAGAGGAACCCAACGAGAGAAAAAGAAAAUGGUGACCAGAGAGAGGGAGAGAGAGAGAGAGAGAGCUCCAGGUGGGAAUGACUCAUCUCCUGGCCGACUCUUAUCAUCCCAAGACUGGGGGCUAAUGCCCCACACCCUCCUCCCAGUCCAGCAGCACAGAAGGAAGGGAUCGAUAGGCAGCCCUGACUAGCCGCUAUCUGAUAUUGAAGAUGCUGGAAUGUAUUUCUGAAUAGCCCCCAGACAGGUGUGUUCGAUAUGUCUUCAAUCUCCUCAGCUCACAAAAGGCCAAGCUCAGAUUAGGUAACUGCAGGCCUAAGCACCAUGGCAGCCGCCCUCACUAAUGAAAUUCUUCCCUUUCAGACUCACACCUCUGAUUAUUAUUCCAUUCCAGCAUAGAUUUCUUUGUAUGUAAAGUUAUUAUUUGUUUAUUUUUUUCUUUGCUUUUCAGAGCAAACAGUGAAGAGCAAAUGUAACAGUCUGAGCAGAGGCCAUUCUGUAUGAGUGGAGAGUCACAUUCACAUAAAUGAGUUAACUUGCUCAACAUCCUGGCCGUUGAUUAGGAAUGCGGCGGAUAGCUUUGGUCUGAGGGGACGUGGCCCGGCUAACGGCUGCCGUUAGACGUGUGAAGUCGGAGCUCGGUUCAGUAGGCAUUUCCAAGAUUUCCACAGUCUCAGCAGCACAGGAAUGCACUUUUAGCCAGGAGUAUCUCUCUCCUUCCAUUGCUUCAUUUUCCCCAGUGGAAACAGCAUGGCUGUGGAGAAUGGGUCUGAUGCUUCGCAGACUCUUCAACCACCGAGGCUUGACGAGAAUGUAAACAAGGUGUUCUUAACACUCUGAUUGCUUGUACAAUGCACCGUUUUGAUCUCAGCUGUUCCUGAAGUUUAAGAGCUGAAUUAGUAAGCUGUCAAGGGCUUACUCACAAAUUGCUCAUAGCGACUCGAAAAUUGAAGUUCUCUCUCCUCUGCAAGCCUCUUCAGAGCACUCCAUCCUCAGGGCAGGCUAAUUUAAAGUUAAUUACCUGGUGCCUGGAUAGAGAGACAGGGCCUGAGCCGGAGCACACCAAACACGUGCAGGCGGCGCGAGCAGCAAACUGCAGG
Molecule: long non-coding RNA, 2907 nt
Organism: Astyanax mexicanus (Mexican tetra)
Lineage: Eukaryota; Metazoa; Chordata; Actinopteri; Characiformes; Acestrorhamphidae
Exons: 5
Source: RefSeq, a predicted model, not a curated record